This 377-nucleotide ribosomal RNA is filed under the name uncultured microorganism. RNAcentral describes it as "bacterial SSU rRNA". It matches the Rfam family "Bacterial small subunit ribosomal RNA", at positions 346 to 713 of the family's 1533-position model. The record is from RNAcentral.
GCGCAGCAGGCGCGAAUCUUCCACAAUGGACGAAAGUCUGAUGGAGCGACGCCGCGUGCGGGAUGAAGGCCUUAUGGGUUGUAAACCGCUGUCAGGGGGAAGAACAUCGGAAUGAACAAUACUCAUUCCGACUGACGUUACCCCCAGAGGAAGCUCCGGCCAACUCCGUGCCAGCAGCCGCGGUAAAUACGGGGGGAGCAAGCGUUGUCCGGAAUUAUUGGGCGUAAAGGGCGUGUAGGCGGCGAGGUAAGUCGAAUGUGAAAUCUCACGGCUCAACCGUGAAACUGCGUUCGAAACUACCCUGCUUGAGUACGGGAGAGGUGUACGGAAUUCCUGGUGUAGCGGUGGAAUGCGUAGAUAUCAGGAAGAACACCGGU